Molecule: small RNA, 18 nt
Filed under: Arabidopsis thaliana (thale cress)
Lineage: Eukaryota; Viridiplantae; Streptophyta; Magnoliopsida; Brassicales; Brassicaceae
Description: ATSL018150
Source: RNAcentral
UGAUAAUGAUGAUGAAAA